AGGGCCUUCGGAGAAUAUGCAGAAUGUGUAAGUGCCACACUUUUGAAGGCAACAAUGUUUGGCUCCUUGCCUAAGGAUAGAGGCAGAUAUCAUGGGAGCCCAGGAGAGUGUGUGACCCCUACAGCCAGCACUAAUGAGUAUGCUAAAAUAUAAUCUUAAGGACAUGUGGAUAUAGACCACCAUAUAUCUUAUGGUUACCAUUUCUUCAGCAUUACUGUUGCAUAGCUGGUCAUCUAUAGCUCUAUCACUGAUCUCUGAAGUAGCCCUAUCAAUCUGAACUUUGGAAAUUAUAUAGUAAGUUCUGUUCCUGAGCCCAGCAGGGAUUGGGGGGAACCAUUUAGUGGCUCCCAGUGGUGGUCUACUUAGUUCCAAAUAGCAUCUCCCUCUAUAUUCCUCAGGCAGUCAUGGGUAUACAUGGGGUCCUCAUAUCCAGUAAGUGGGAGAAUUGGGAGUAGACCUACAGUUAUUGACAAAACCUAGAGUCCCAAUUUUUGGUACUUAAUAUGGAUGUUAUAAUAUAGGACUUUUAUGAGCAUCCUUGAUGUUACAAAUGCUGGUGCCUAGUCCCUUUAUCUCAGACUCAGAGAAAGCAUAUUUAUAUAGGGUUGGGACUAUGCCUUAGGAUGGCAGGAGCCGGGAAUGUCAGGGGUUGGGGAAUAGAUCUUCCCUCUCAUGGGUCCAGUUAAAUGACUAGGUACAAUCAGCCCUGUUCCAGCUGAUAGAGAUUUGGUAAGUCUAAUAUGCCCUAUCCCCACAUAUAUUUUCUCUCUUAACUGCAGGAGAGCCUUCCAUUUAUCAUCCCUUUUAAACGUAGCCUUUGUGUAGGCUAUCCAGCUUCUAGACUUUGCCUGGUUUUUUAUUCAGUACCAUGAUUUACCAUCCCUCAAUUGUUAUAGAAUAAAGUAUGUAUCUCCAGCAGUUGGGCUAUGUAUUAUUCUGUAUCUGCAGCCUCUAGGCUAAUUAGAUAACUUGGUAUAUAGCCAAACAAGUGAUUUAGUAUCUUCUUGAGGAAAUUCAAUUACUACAGGUGCUCUGAAUCACCUGAGAUGUCUAGGGCAAUGACUGUGAUCAUUCAAGGUAAAACUCAUAUAAUCAGUGUUUUUUUUUUUUAAUGUACACACACACACACACACACACACACACACACACACACACACACACACACUAGAAUGAGGACUAUUUGCUUGCUGGCUGUAACCUUAUUUAAAUUGGUAUUAUAGCUAGCCCUUCCAUAAUUAAUCUUCACUGUCUUCAGUGCAGGUAGCAGAAUCCUCUUUGUGUUUCUUUCAGAAAGUUUCCAUGCAGAGUUAGCUCCAGCUACAGCAAUAUGUCAUAGGCAUUGAACUUUGGGGCAAUGACUGGUCAGAGCUCCAAGCCAAAGAGUCCCCCGAAGAGAGCACUCUACUCACCUUCCUCACUGGGAACUAAUACCUGGAAUAGUACCAUACACAUCUUUGUCAUACUGAGCUUCUUUGUCUUACUAAAAUAAAGUUUUCUUUAAGAAGACUCUUCAGUGAGGAUGACUUUAAGAACAUGACCAGGACAACCAGUGUUCUCAAGGGAGGAGAUGGCAGACUCAUUGGUUUGGCAGCAGCCCAGGCCAGUUUUUCCCCUGCAACUUUCCAAGCUUGUUUCUGUAGUGGUUGGAGCCAAAUAACCACUCGUAGACUUUGUUAUAGAAGGAAUGGUGAAGUCAAAUACAAAGAGCAGAAUGGGGUCAGCUAGAUGCUUUCUAUAGGUAGCUAAACAUCAUUUAGUCAAACUAGGAUGAACUGUGAUAGGCAGCUAAAGGUUCUUUUCUGUGUGGGGAGAAAAGGAGAGGAUGGGGCAGAGAUAGUAUUGUCUCUUCCCUAUUUGUAUUACCUAUUCAGUGUUUUCAGGCCUGUUCUCUCUGUUAGCCUGUAGACUCCUGCAAGGGUACUUGUGACUUGCUGUUCCUGAAACAUUUGUGUCUCAACCACACCCCACACUAGACCCCACCUUCCAUAGCCGCGCGUCUGUUACUUGCACAUAAAGCCUCUGUUCCCAAAUGUUCCCAGUGGAGGAGGUGGCCUAAUUUGGGGUCACUGGCUUCCCUCUAGGGGCAGUUGUCUUGGAACUGUCUGAAGUUUGAACACAGGGUUGAAGGGCAGACAGUAUGGUUAACAAUCUUAUUAUUUCUCUUGGUAUUUCCUUACCAUGACAGUAAAGGUUGCCCAUCAAUUUGGGCCUCUUUUGGCCUGUCUUUUAAUAGCCAGACCAACCGGUCUUUCCACAGAGAACCUCUUUUUUUCUCUUUUUUAUAUCCCCCCACCCAUUUUCUUUUGGUUAUUUGGGGAGCUGAAAUUCCCAGAAGUCUUCCUAAGCCAUCUUUUCCAAAAUUAUGCAUAGAGACUGCUAGUUACCUACCACUCUAGUCAUUCUUCUUAUGAACAGAAAAAAAAAAAAAAAAAAAAAAAAAAACUACAUUGUCUGUCCUCCACUACCAGUAAGGAUGACACAGUGUGACACAGUCUUGUCAAUGAGGGGUAACUAAAUGUGUUAAGAGAAGUUUCUAGUAAAGCUCCUUAAAAAGGGGUAACUUCAGAGCACACACACUUUUGCUCUAAUUUCUGCCCCUUCUUCCUGUCUGUAUCUUAGGGGAGAUGCUAGACAUGGAACAGGCAUCUUGCAACAAUACAACCAUGUGAGAAAAGCCAAGUGAAAAGCUGGGGUCACAUCUGAAAAGACUGGGUUAACAGGACACAUAGGCACUGUGUGUGAACUCAAAACUGCAUAAUUUUUGCACACUGCCACCAUCCCUGCUGCCUUAGGUUGUAAAGAAAACAAAUCCCUUUGUGUACAACAGAUCUGUACUGCUCUUAUAUCUCUAACACUGUUUGCAGGAGGACUGUGCUGCCAUAAUUUACUCGUACCAUCUGCGACUUAGACAUUUUUUUACACCUAAAUUCUUUAAAAAAAUAGCCGUGUGUACCUCUUUGCUGUAAGUUCAAAACUUGACAUUUCUUAUCAAUGGAAGGUCUAAGAUCCUCCAGUGGAGUACAGGUAUACAAUUCGAAAACAAUUCGGUUGACAAUAAGUUCGCUAAUUUUGACAAUUAGACUUUAAAAAUUAGUACCACAGAUAUUUUAGAAUAGUAGUACUAUAAAUGUACCAUGAAAUGGUUUUGUAACACAUUACCAAUUUUAAAUGUGUAGAUCCAUAUUUUAAGUUUUGUGGAGAUGAAUUACUCUCUUUUUAGAUCCCUAUUUAUUUUCAGCCAGUCAUUCCAGCUUUGUAUUAUUUGUAAUAGUGAAACACCGAAACAGGUUCAGACCUAAAAACAUAAAGGGUUAUUGCAACAGCUUACGGAGUUACACAAAAGUUAUGGAUUACUUAAUUGUGGCCACAAAAUAAAAUCUACAACUCCCUCAGUUUACAGAAAGAUCACUUCUGUAUGCACAUGUAUAUUAUCAAGCCGUUACUGUUAUUUUCCUAGAUAAAUGGGCUAAUAGAAACUUUUAGUGUCCUAUUUAAUUUUUCUGUAAUGAACUGUUAUUAACUUUUCAUAAGAACGAUUUUUAAAAAUGAAAAGACUUCCUCUUGAUGGACAUUUAACAAGAGAAACAAAAAGUGUUGCUGAGAAAUGAAGAGCAUUCAGGAACAGCAGGAACCAGUGGACGCUCACUUUUGCUGCUGAGAUACCAUCACCGAUGACCCAGACUGCUCCAGGCUCAUGAACUGCUCCUGAGCUGCUUGUAGGACCUGAGUGGCCACGAGCCCUGGCUGCAAUGCCAGAGAUGCCCUCUCAUGUCUGCCUUUACUUCCACAUGUUGCCUUGUCCCAUCCCAUGCUCACGUGUCUCUCUGAUGCUUAAAAAGUAUGCUUUCGUGUAUUCAAUAAACGCUAGAAUUUGAGUUA
Prionailurus viverrinus (fishing cat) is the source of this 3879-nucleotide long non-coding RNA. RefSeq lists it as uncharacterized. Lineage: Eukaryota; Metazoa; Chordata; Mammalia; Carnivora; Felidae. The transcript is spliced from 3 exons. The record is from RefSeq and is a predicted model, not a curated record.